CCCUUCCCUUCCCCAAAGCCCAGACUGUCCUGCCUUUCCCUGACUGGGCAGCAAGUCAACAAGAACAAAGGUUUGGGGAGCCGACCAGGGAAAGGCCAGCCCGGGCCUCUCGGGGUCUCAAUCCCUUGGCCUGUGUGUGUGCCAGAGCUUCCCACAGAUUCGGGAAGAAGGUGCCGGAGGCUGGCCGGGCGGCCUUGCGGUUUGAAGCAGUGAGUCACCUUCUGGCUGCAAGUCAAGGAACUCUCACUGCGCCCUUGUUUGGACAAGACGGGGAGGCGCACUCAGAGUCAGAGACUCCGGGAGCAGAGACCGGAGCAGGAAGAAGGGGUCACCGAGACCUCAAGAAGUCAGGGAGACAGACGCCCAAAGGACCGAGACAGCCAGGGACAGAUUAUCCAAUCCCAUUUCUGGAAGACACUCUGACUGUGAAGCAAAAGAACUCUACACCUGGCUCUGGAGGGCUGAUUCUCUGUGAAGGCAGAGGACCACCUGACUGGCCUGGAAGACUGACUGUCCAUACUCUUCUUCCAGGAUCUGGACUUGACAUCCCUGGCUCAAAAAGAUUGACUAUUUAGGGAUCCGAAGGGCCUCUCUAGCCGACCUGCUGUAAUACCAUAUUUCACAAGUGCUCUCUUGACCCAGUUUUGAGAUCCUG
This is a long non-coding RNA of Sapajus apella (tufted capuchin), 655 nucleotides long. RefSeq lists it as uncharacterized. The record is from RefSeq and is a predicted model, not a curated record. Lineage: Eukaryota; Metazoa; Chordata; Mammalia; Primates; Cebidae. The transcript has 2 exons.